Molecule: ribosomal RNA, 496 nt
Filed under: uncultured bacterium
Lineage: Bacteria
Description: partial 16S ribosomal RNA
Rfam family: Bacterial small subunit ribosomal RNA
Source: RNAcentral
GAUGAACGCUGGCGGCGUGCCUAAUACAUGCAAGUCGAGCGAACAGACGAGGAGCUUGCUCUCUGACGUUAGCGGCGGACGGGUGAGUAACACGUGGAUAACCUACCUAUAAGACUGGGAUAACUUCGGGAAACCGGAGCUAAUACCGGAUAAUAUAUUGAACCGCAUGGUUCAAUAGUGAAAGACGGUUUUGCUGUCACUUAUAGAUGGAUCCGCGCCGCAUUAGCUAGUUGGUAAGGUAACGGCUUACCAAGGCGACGAUGCGUAGCCGACCUGAGAGGGGGGGCGGCCAACCGGGAACUAACACCCGGACAGGACUCCAAGGGGAGGCAGCAGAGGGGAUUCUGCCGAAAUGGGCGAAGGCUUGACGGAGCAAGUCCGGGGGAGAGAAAAAGGUCUUCGGUCCGUAAACUUCUUUUAUUGGGAAAGAAAAAAUGUGUAGGUAACUACGCCGUUCUGGCCGGUCCGUAAUAAGAAAGCCACGGCAAACUACGUC